Molecule: transfer RNA, 72 nt
Filed under: Ovis aries (sheep)
Lineage: Eukaryota; Metazoa; Chordata; Mammalia; Artiodactyla; Bovidae
Rfam family: tRNA
About the family: Transfer RNA (tRNA) molecules are approximately 80 nucleotides in length. Their secondary structure includes four short double-helical elements and three loops (D, anti-codon, and T loops).
Source: Rfam by way of RNAcentral
UCCCAGGUGGCUCAGUGGUAAAGCAUCUGCCUACCAGUGCAGAAGAUGCAGGUUCAAUCCCUGGAUUGGGAA